CUUUGGUGAUUUGGCUUAUAUGA
Molecule: microRNA, 23 nt
Filed under: Heligmosomoides polygyrus
Lineage: Eukaryota; Metazoa; Nematoda; Chromadorea; Rhabditida; Heligmosomidae
Description: hpo-miR-79-5p
Gene: hpo-miR-79-5p
Source: miRBase by way of RNAcentral